GCUGGCAUCAGACAGAAUCCCUGAUGCUCUGCCAGUCUGUGCUCCUCCAGUACCUGUGUCCUUCAUGAUAUUUCCAAGUCAUAAGUAAAGAAGACUGAUCUCGGAAACUGCUGGUGUGCGGAGGAAAGCCAUUAAAACACUGCUGCGUGGGCAGGCCUGAGUGCCUCCUGAUGUCAGUAAGAGAUAAGUUUUGCCAUGGUGCAUACGGAUUUGCUGUUUUCCAGUCUGAAAUUCCCCUUGCUUUCAGUAGCUCCUUGGGCAGAAGAUUGCCACUGUCAUUGCAGGUAUCGUUCUAAUCCCUGUGUGAGAGCAGUACAGGCUUCCCUGUUAGUAAUGGCAGCAGUGAAUUUUUUCUAGAGCUCACCGAAUAGCACUCUGUCCUGAUUUUCAGUAAGGCUUUCCCUGCCCUGAUAUGCCCACAUCAGCAGAUCGGUUGUCCAUAUGCACAAAACUACUACUGGCCUCAGCACUAGUAUCUGUUCUCUUUUGCUUCUCAGUCUAGGCUCUGACGGGCCAAUAGGCUUGAAACUUUC
This 533-nucleotide long non-coding RNA is filed under the name Gallus gallus (chicken). RNAcentral describes it as "long non-coding RNA NONGGAT011763". The record is from RNAcentral. Lineage: Eukaryota; Metazoa; Chordata; Aves; Galliformes; Phasianidae.